Molecule: ribosomal RNA, 451 nt
Filed under: Pseudomonas sp.
Lineage: Bacteria; Pseudomonadati; Pseudomonadota; Gammaproteobacteria; Pseudomonadales; Pseudomonadaceae
Description: bacterial SSU rRNA
Rfam family: Bacterial small subunit ribosomal RNA
Source: RNAcentral
CUGGGCGUAAGCGCGCGUAGGUGGUUUGUUAAGUUGGAUGUGAAAUCCCCGCGUUUAACCUGGGAACUGCAUUCAAAACUGACUGACUAGAGUCUUGUAAAGGGUGGUGGAAUUUCCUGUGUAGCGGUGAAAUGCGUAAAUAUAGGAAGGAACACCAGUGGCGAAGGCGACCACCUGGACUAAUACUGACACUGAGGUGCGAAAGCGUGGGGAGCAAACAGGAUUAUAUACCCUGGUAGUCCACGCCGUAAACGAUGUCAACUAGCCGUUGGGAGCCUUGAGCUCUUAGUGGCGCAGCUAACGCAUUAAGUUGACCGCCUGGGGAGUACGGCCGCAAGGGUAAAACUCAAAUGAAUUGACGGGGGCCCGCACAAACGGUGGAGCAUGUGGUUUAAUUCGAAACAACGCGAAGAACCUUACCAGGCCUUGACGUCCAAUGAACUUUCUAGAG